RNAcentral lists this ribosomal RNA (253 nucleotides) under uncultured bacterium. Its description in RNAcentral is "partial 16S ribosomal RNA". It matches the Rfam family "Bacterial small subunit ribosomal RNA", at positions 524 to 776 of the family's 1533-position model. The record is from RNAcentral.
UACGAAGGGGGCUAGCGUUGCUCGGAAUCACUGGGCGUAAAGGGUGCGUAGGCGGGUUUUUAAGUCAGGGGUGAAAUCCUGGAGCUCAACUCCAGAACUGCCUUUGAUACUGAAGAUCUUGAGUCCGGGAGAGGUGAGUGGAACUGCGAGUGUAGAGGUGAAAUUCGUAGAUAUUCGGAAGAACACCAGUGGCGAAGGCGGCUCACUGGCCCGGUACUGACGCUGAGACGCGAAAGCGUGGGGAGCAAACAGG